AUGACAUGGACAAGGAAUUGAAACCUGCAACCCUCGAUUACAAACCAAGUUGACUGGGAGUCGAAAGCCCUCCAUUGGCCACCACAUC
Molecule: transfer RNA, 88 nt
Filed under: Yarrowia lipolytica
Lineage: Eukaryota; Fungi; Ascomycota; Dipodascomycetes; Dipodascales
Description: tRNA-Trp
Source: RNAcentral